This 616-nucleotide long non-coding RNA is filed under the name Glycine max (soybean). RNAcentral's name for it is "long non-coding RNA (GMAX_LNC000610)". Lineage: Eukaryota; Viridiplantae; Streptophyta; Magnoliopsida; Fabales; Fabaceae. The record is from RNAcentral.
UGUUUCAUGAUUAGGUGACAAAUACUACGAAUGAUACUAUGAUUUGACCAUCUACAAUACCAAUAUGGAGAUUCCUCAUGGCGAUGACUUUGCAAAGGCAGAAAACUCUUCAUCUCCCUUGUUGAACUCAAUAAUUCAUCAAGCACCUUGGACGACUAGCCUUUCUGUUCAAGACGUAACAAAAACAAUUGGUAGGAAGAGGGUUAACAGUAAUAGAAUAACUUAACGAAAGAAGAUUAAAGAUAAGAUUAUAUGUAAUUUAUGAUUAAGAUAACCUCUUAUUAAUAACGUGUUCAUUGACAUAUCAUUUCAAAUUUUUAUUUGACAAAUUUUUGCACAGUAACCUGCCACAAAUGAAGUGCUAUGGGUUAGCAAAAACAACCAAAAUUCUCCCAAAAACAACCCACUACAAAACCAAUCCAAGCAAUCAUUUGCAACAACUCUACAUUCCUUGAUUCAAACAAAAAACCAAAGGGAGGUGGAGAACUGUAUGCUAGUUGCAGUUCACCUUUUCCCACUUAUACCAUUAAUUACUAAAGAAUUUACAACACUAACUUAACACUCAUGAGCUAUACCCAUUUGGUGAGAGGAAAUACAUUGUAAAUCAUAUCAUAAC